Molecule: long non-coding RNA, 5668 nt
Filed under: Nicotiana tabacum (common tobacco)
Lineage: Eukaryota; Viridiplantae; Streptophyta; Magnoliopsida; Solanales; Solanaceae
Description: long non-coding RNA (NTAB_LNC000786)
Source: RNAcentral
GAGGAAGAUGGAUACUGGUUAGAUAUCGAAUACGAGGGUGCCCCAUCAUACUGCAAAUAUUGUUGUAUGCAAGGACCUGAUCUACUCUCCUGCAGAAAUAAGAAAAGAGAUGAAGAAGUUCAAGCUCAAGCCUCAGCCAACACUGAGGAGAUUGAUGAUCAAUGGAGAGUUCAAAAAGGAAACAAGAAAUUACAUCAACACACAAUUGGAAAUACUAACUUGAAUAUGCUACCACAACAACCUCAUCAGGAAGUCAUUCUCAUAGGGAAAAAUUCACAAUCAGAGAGGGCAAAUCAACCAACUAUACAACUAACAAAUGAUGGAACACAAGACAAACAGAAAUAAGUUUUGGACAAGAACAAUCCAGUUGAACAUAUAGCCCAAUUGCACCAGGCAUCGAAGCACAAGGAUGGACCAAAGAAAAAAGUGCAAUGGCAAGUUAAUCAGAGCAAACAACAGACCAAUACUCAUAAGCUUCAUAGUACAAAACAACCAACUCCACUAACAAUUGAGUCAAGCCAAGUUAAUCUAAAUGCAAAGGCUAAUAAACCUCAAAACAUAACACCUCAGACCAGUCCUAAUGUACAAUCUCCCAUUAAGAAAGGUUUUUAGAUGCUCCUUGAUAGUACUACCAAGCCAAAACACCAAAGUAGUUCUGAUAUCGCCUCUACUUUUGUUGUUCCACAUCAGCAAAAUAUAUCCAUCUCAGUUCCAAAAAUUCGAAAGACAUUACAAAUUAGCCUUCCACUACCAAGAAACCAGACAGAAAAUGCACACACAAAUCCCACUUCUCAAGAGCCUCCAGACCCUCAUCCUCCUGACAAUCCAGCCUCCGAAUCCUAUCCACCAGCUAACAAUCCUAUUAACCAUCCCUUAGAGAGUAGUGAUGAAUUAGAGCUGGAUAUUGUAAAUGAUGAAGAUUCCGAAUUUGAAGGGGGAAGAUUCAGAAAUUGCUGAAAAUGAUCAAGUUGUUAGUGAUUCUGAGAAUAACUUUGAAAGUAUUGAAGAUCAGUCUGAAAGUGAGGAAACUCUUGAUGCUCAAUCAGCUACCAGCGAUGAUCAUACUAACAGAUUGCUAGAAGCUUUCUCACAUCAAUCACCACCACCAGAUGAAAUCGUUCAAGCCUUUGGAGAUGCAACUGUCAGACACCACCUCUCACCUAGGGGGCAUGAGGUAACCAAAGGUGGACUCUCAUUAACCAGAGGUGGACACACAUUUAGGGAGGGCAGAGGUAAUAGAAGAGGCAAAGGCAUUCCUCAUGUAAAAUUUUCACAGGACAAAUGAUGAUCAAUCUACAUAUUUUUAAUAAUUAAGUCACUUAUUUGAAAUAUUAGAGGCAUCACUUCACAAGGUACCUUUGACAGACUUAAGCAACUCAAAAGAACUCACAACUUUUUAUUCAUUACUAUCAUGGAACCUUUCAGCGGAAGUCAAAAGUUAGAAAAAUUUAGGAGAGGACUUGGGUUUGAUUUUGCAUAUGCCAAUUGCAAUAAUAAAAUCUGAUUCUUUGGUGAUAGCUCUAUCAACUGUAUUGUUAUGGAAGACCUUCCUCAACUUAUCAAUUGCUCAAUUGAUAAUAAUGGAGAGACUUUAUACAUGACUUUAGUGUAUGCUAAAUGCGAAGCUCAUCUCAGGGAGACUCUAUGGGAUAACAUCAAAUCUUUUUCUAAUGGAGUUAGAUCUCCAUGGAUGGUGAUUGGGGAAUUUAGCGCUAUUACUGAUCCUCAGGAGAAAAAAGGGGGAAAAUCCGCAAUAUGUCUAAUAACUCUCCCUUCAUCAGAUGCAUUGUGGAUAGUGGCCUUUUGGAUCUUGGUUACACUGGCAGUCCUUUUACGUGGUGUAAUGGCUGGGCACCUACUAAGAGGAUAUGUGCAAAGAUUGGAUAGAGCUCUUGUUAACUCGGAAUGGUUAGAGAAUUUUGCAGAUACCACUGUCACACACUUGGUCAGAACUGGAUCUGAUCAUGCUCAUUUGCUUGUCUCCACUUCCAAUCCACAAUUGGAGCCUAAAAAGUAUUUCAGAUUCUUAGAUCUUUGGACUGAACAAGAGGGUUUUAUGCAAGUGGUGGAACAAGCUUGGAAACUACAAGUAGAAUGAGGCACUCUGUGGAGAUUUCAUCUCAAGCUAAAAAAUGCCUGUAAGAGUCUUUUAUUUUGGUCCAAGAAUUCUAUUGGGAAUAUUUUUGAUAAGACCAAGAAAUUGUAGAAUAUGCUUGAGGUAUUAGAGGAAAUAUGUCUAAAUGACAAUUCUGAAAGUAAUAGGAUGGAAUAUAAUAAUGUGAAUGCACAUUUGAUUAGACACAUAAAAAAUGAAGAGUCAUUUUGGAGAUAAAAAGCUGGCUUGAAGUGGUUUACGGAUGGCGACAAUAACAUUAGGUUCUUUCACUCUGUAAUUAAUUCCAGAAGGAAAAAAUUACAACUUACAAGAAUCAAGAAGCAAGAUGGUACCUGGAUUAAGAACAAAGAUGAUAUAGCUACUGAAGCUAUUAACUUUUUUGAGUAGCAGUUCACACAAGAAAAUACUUGCAGCAAUUUUUCAAAGCUCAAGGGGCUUAACAAAGUAAUAAAUGAAGAAGAUAACUUGGUUUUAGAGGAACUCCCUACUAUGGAUGAAUUGAAACAGGUAGUAUUUUCCAUGGAGAGUAGUAGCUCGCCUGGCCCUGAUGGCAUUUCUGGAAAAUUCUUUCAACACUGCUGGAAUAUAAUUUUUGUUGAUCUCUAUCAGGUGGUUUUGGAAUUCUUUUUUGGGCAACCACUUCCCAGAUCAUUCACCCAUACAUGCCUUGUCCUUAUCCCUAAAAUCGAUAACCCGCAACAAUUCACUGAUUUCAGGCCUAUUAGUCUAAGCAACUUCACUUUCAAAAUUAUCUCAAAGUUGCUUAAUAGUAGGCUAGCCCCUCUUAUGAACAUGAUUAUUUCUCCAAACCAAACUGGUUUCCUUAAAGGUAGGUCAAUCUCAGAUAAUGUCAUUCUUACUCAAGAACUUAUUCAUAACUUGAAUAGGCCCAAUGUCAAUGGUAAUAUAGUUUUUAAGCUAGACAUGGCAAAGGCCUUUGACAGAGUUCCUUGGGACUACCUCUGUCAAACCAUGAGGCUAUUAGGCUUUUCUGAAUGUUGGAUUGAUAUGGUUGCAAGAUUGAUCUCAAAUAAUUGGUACUCCAUCAAUGUCAAUGGAGUGAGACAUGGGUUUUUCAAAUAUUCUAGGGGCCUUAAGCAAGGAGACACACUAUCCCCCUCACUUUUUGUCAUUGGAGCAGAAUUGCUAUCUUACAUGAUGGACCAGCUGGUACAUGAUAAUUUUAUUAAUUUUUCUAUGGAUCGAGGCGGUCCUUUAAUCACUCACCUCACAUAUGUUGAUGACACCAUUCUCUUCUCCUUUGGUGACUUGUUAUCUAUUUCUAUUAUGAUGAAAAAGUUGGAGAACUAUGAACAAGCCUCAGGACAAAUGGUGAAUAAAAGAAAAUCUAUAUUCCUGGUAUCUUCUAAAACUCCUUCAACUGUAAUUGAAGACAUCAAAAGCAUUACUGGUUUUUCCCAUUCGUAAUUUCCUUUUACUUAUUUGGGGUGCCCUAUUUACCUAGGGAGAAAGAAAAUUUGCUACUUUGGAAAUAUGGUGGCCAAAAUAGCAAAUAGAACUCAGGGUUGGAAAAGGGAAAAUUCUUUCUUUUGGGGGUAGAGCAGCCCUUAUCAGGUCUGUGUUGCAUUCUAUUCUUUUACAUAUCAUAUUUGUUGUGCAUCCACCAAAAACUACCCUUGAUCAUAUUGAAAAAUCUCUUGCUAGUUUUUUUCGGGGUACAAUAGAGAGCAAUACAAAGUUAUCAUUGGUUUUCCUGGAAGAAUUUAUGGAGGGAAGGGUAGGUUUUAUAUCAUUGCAUGACAUUUGCAUUUAUUUUGCUGCUAAAGCCUGGUAGAAUUUCAGACUCAAAAGUCUCUUCUCACCUCUUCCUGGAAGCUAAAUGCUGCAAAAGAUAUCACCCGGUUGCUAGAAAAAAGAGUUAUACUCAGUCACACUCUUGGAGAAGGCUAAUGGAUAUCAAGAAAGACUAUGAAGGGCAUAUUUUAUGGAAUGUAGGAAAAGAUAACCUUUCCUUUUGGUGGGAUAACUGGACCAAUAAAGAAGCCCUUGCUAAUUUAGUUCAACAAGGAAACAAGUCCCAGAAGAUAAAAGUGGCUGAUUUUAUUGCGCACAACCAAUGGAAGAUGGAUAAACUCUGUGAUACUCUCCCUUCUAAUUUGGUUUAUCAUAUUCAAUCUAUCAAGAUUUCUCUUGAAGAGAAAGAUCUUCCUAUUUGGCUUGCAAACCCCACUGGAUCUUUUUCUAGUAAAUUAGCAUGGAAAACUUUUAGAAAAUCUAGAGGCUCUUCACUCACUACAACUAAGAUCUGGCAUCGUAAACUACCAUUUAAAGUAUCUUUUCAUGUUAUGAGAAUAUUAAAUGGUAAGCUUGCAACUGAUGACUCUUUGAUCAGGUUUGGUGUUCAUGGCCCCUCAAAAUAUUAUUGCUGCAUCAAUAACAAUAUGGAAACUACAAACCAUUUAUUUAGAGAUGGUGAUGUGGCUCUAAAAGUUUGGAAAUAUUUUCAAGAUGCUUGUGGAUUGUCUAUUAACUCUGUUGGUGGUAUUCAUGCCAAAUUCAUUAGAUGGUGGCUCAUCAAACCACAGAACAAAGUUCAUGACAUGAUAUUGCAAUAUCUUCCCUCUGUUAUCUGUUGGGAAAUAUGAAAAAUAGAUGUACCUACAAAUAUGAGGGUAUCAGAAGUUCAACCCAUAGAAUCAUUGAUCAAAUUACCUACUUGAUACAACUGUUGCUUUUUACUGAAUUUCCUUCUCUGCCUUUUAUGUCUUCUUUCCCGAGGAUAUGUCAAUUGGUAGACAUAAUCAAACCUCAACUACAUAUUCUUCCUAUGAGAUGGAAUAAACUGAGUGUUGAGGAAUUCAAAUUAAAUGUUGAUGGUUGUAGCAAAGGAAACCCAUGUAAUGCAGGAGGUGGAUAGGUGUUAAGAGAUCAUCUCAGACCUUUGAUCAUGGCUUUCACUGUUUACUUUGGUAGUUGCUCAAACAAUUCAGCUAAAUCUCAAGCAAUCAAAACUGGAGUUAGAUGGUGCUUAGAUCAUGGCUUCAGCAGGUUGACAGUUGAGUCAGACUCUUUUGUUGUGAUUCAGAUGAUAAAAGGAGAAUUUUCUACUACUUGACAUAUAAAGGAUGAUAUCUUAGCGAUUCAAGCAAUGAACCUAAUUGGAAAUUUUCAUUAUGUUCACACACUCAGAGAAGGUAAUAUCCCAGCAGAUCUCCUAGCUAAUAUAGCUGAAGUGGAGAGGAAGAGUCAGUUCUUCACUGAGGCUAUAAAUCUUCCAAGGCAGUUUAUAUCCUUAUUGAAGAAUGACGAGAAAGGGAUGCCAAAUUUCAAAAUCAGGGUAAGAAAGAGGACCUUUAUUUUUUAUCCAGGCUGACUGAUCUUUCUUAGUUCCUUUAUUUUGUGAGCUAAUCUGUUUAAGAAGCAACCCUCCUAAUUGUUGUUGGACUAGUCAAAUUGUAAUGGAUGGACUUAGUCCAUCCCAACUUUCCUCUGAGAGGUUUGGUUUAUGCCCCCUCUAUGUACAUCUUGACUUAUCAAUGCAUUCUCCGGUGGGGAGCUCUUCUUGUUUAAAAAUAAGUCAUAUAUAAAAAU